AUUGAACGCUGGCGGCAUGCCUUACACAUGCAAGUCGAACGGCAUCGCGGGAAAGCUUGCUUUCCUGGCGGCGAGUGGCGAACGGGUGAGUAACACAUCGGAACGUACCGGCUAGUGGGGGAUAACCCGUCGAAAGACGGGCUAAUACCGCAUACGCUCUUCGGAGGAAAGCAGGGGACCUUUGGGCCUUGCGCUAGCCGAGCGGCCGAUGUCCGAUUAGCUAGUUGGUGGGGUAAAGGCCUACCAAGGCGACGAUCGGUAGCGGGUCUGAGAGGACGAUCCGCCACACUGGGACUGAGACACGGCCCAGACUCCUACGGGAGGCAGCAGUGGGGAAUCUUGGACAAUGGGGGCAACCCUGAUCCAGCAAUGCCGCGUGGGUGAAGAAGGCCUUCGGGUUGUAAAGCCCUUUCGGCAGGGAAGAAAUCGGCGGGGCGAAUAACCCUGCUGGAUGACGGUACCUGCAGAAGAAGCACCGGCUAACUAC
This 487-nucleotide ribosomal RNA is filed under the name uncultured bacterium. Its description in RNAcentral is "partial 16S ribosomal RNA". It matches the Rfam family "Bacterial small subunit ribosomal RNA", at positions 29 to 504 of the family's 1533-position model. The record is from RNAcentral.